Molecule: ribosomal RNA, 540 nt
Filed under: uncultured bacterium
Lineage: Bacteria
Description: bacterial SSU rRNA
Rfam family: Bacterial small subunit ribosomal RNA
Source: RNAcentral
GAGUAAUCUGCCCCUGGCUUUGGGAUAGCCACCGGAAACGGUGAUUAAUACCGGAUAUGACCACUUUACGCAUGUUUGGUGGUGGAAAGUUUUUCGGCCAGGGAUGUGCUCGCGGCCUAUCAGCUUGAUGGUGAGGUAAUGGCUCACCAUGGCUUCGACGGGUAGCCGGCCUGAGAGGGUGACCGGCCACACUGGGACUGAGACACGGCCCAGACUCCUACGGGAGGCAGCAGUGGGGAAUAUUGGACAAUGGGCGGAAGCCUGAUCCAGCAACGCCGCGUGAGGGAUGACGGCCUUCGGGUUGUAAACCUCUUUCAGUACCGACGAAGCGCAAGUGACGGUAGGUACAGAAGAAGCACCGGCCAACUACGUGCCAGCAGCCGCGGUAAUACGUAGGGUGCGAGCGUUGUCCGGAAUUAUUGGGCGUAAAGGGCUCGUAGGCGGUUUGUCGCGUCGGGAGUGAAAACCAGGUGCUUAACACCUGGCUUGCUUUCGAUACGGGCAGACUAGAGGUAUUCAGGGGAGAACGGAAUUCCUGGU